Callithrix jacchus (white-tufted-ear marmoset) is the source of this 106-nucleotide small nuclear RNA. NCBI's taxonomy places the organism in Eukaryota, Metazoa, Chordata, Mammalia, Primates, Cebidae. The record is from Ensembl.
GUGCUCCUUUGGCAGCAAGUAUACUAAAACUGGAACGAUACAGAGAAGAUUAGCAUGGCCCCUGUGCAAGGAUGACACGCAAAUUUGUGAAGCAUUCCAUAUUAAU